AACGGCCGUACCAUGCUGAAUAUACCGGUUCUCGUUAGAUCACCGAAGUCAAGCAUCAUUGGGCGCGGUCAGUACUUGGGUGGGUUACCACCUGGGAACACCGCGUGCCGUU
RNAcentral lists this ribosomal RNA (112 nucleotides) under Caerostris darwini. The record is from RNAcentral. Lineage: Eukaryota; Metazoa; Arthropoda; Arachnida; Araneae; Araneidae.